Molecule: long non-coding RNA, 1065 nt
Filed under: Salmo salar (Atlantic salmon)
Lineage: Eukaryota; Metazoa; Chordata; Actinopteri; Salmoniformes; Salmonidae
Description: lncRNA (ENSSSAG00000105052.1)
Source: RNAcentral
CACACACAAACACUAUUGUGUUUUUUAAGUUUUUGUCCUCCAGACAGUCUAGUCUAGUGGGCGUGGUGACAGGUGUUCUACAGGGUCUGUUAUGAACGAGACACAGACAGACAGUAGUGUAGUGGGCUGCUCUCUCAUGCUAACACUAAGAAGAGAUACGCAUGUUCCAGACGGCUGUUGUGAAUGAAUCAUUCCUUUGCUGUUUCCUGGACUGGUAAUCCUAUUUAUUUUUCUUCAAAUUCCCCUUAUAGAUGCUCAGUGGUACGUUGUACAUUUUAGGACAUCCCUACUCCGUAGGAGGUCCUAAAAUGUACACCGUGCAGCAUACCUUAAAGUGUUACCAAGCAAUGAUCUGAUGCAUAGAACAUACAUGUUUCUCCCCAGCCCUGGGCACGAGGAGGUAAAGGAACUCUGUAUCAAAGCUGAGAGAUACUGAGUGUAGCUGCUAUGUGUGCAGUGUGACAGCCUGGUUUCAAGAUGUCGUGCAGACACUCCCAGCGCUACACAUGUUUUACUGGUGGCAUUCACUAUGUUCCCCUGCUAUUUGACAGGAAAACCCCAGCUUGUCAUAUAUCAGUUUCUGUUGUAAAAAAAAUAUUUAAAACUUUUUUAAGUCAUCAUUUUCUAUUCUUCAUGACUGUCUUUGCCAGGGAUUACUGUAGAUUGAUAGGAAUCAUGUCACCAGGUGUAAACUGGGUGUUGAACAGGUGUCAGUGUGAACAGGUGUCAGUGUGAACAGGUGUCAGUGUGAACAGGUGUCAGUGUGAACAGGUGUCAUUGUGAACAGGUGUCAUUGUGAACAGGUGUCAGUGUGAACAGGUGUCAGUGUGAACAGGUGUCAUUGUGAACAGGUGUCAGUGUGAACAGGUGUCAGUGUGAAAAGGUGUCAGUGUGAACAGGUGCUGAACAUCCUCACAUCAAAGAUAGGAACUGAAUGACACUGAUCAUUACAGUAAAGUAAACUGGGAGCAAGAACAUACAAGGUAUAUGUGGUGUGUGUGUGUGUGUGUGUGUGUGUGUGUGUGUGUGUGUGUGUGUGUGUGUGUGUGUGUGUGUGUGUGUGUG